UGCUAAAGAAUCAGUUCUCAUCAUUUUAACUGUAAAUUGGCUCCUUCGUAUGCUGUUGAUUGGUGCCAAAAUUCUCAUCUGAAAUGGUGAAGGUUUUGAUCUUGGAGGCAGGAAGUCUGACUUAAUUUUUUUUAUGGCCCCUCAUUUAUGUCUGUUAUUUGAUAAAAGUGCACACGCUGUAAACCAUACAAAUAAAUUAGAAAUUCAAAACAUUUUCCUAGUGAUGCUAGUUGAGUGCAACAGCACAAUUAGAAUCCAAUCAAAAGCCAAGGGAACGAAAAGCGAGAUUGAUUUAAACACUGUUUCACAGGAAAAAAACUAAAUAAGAAAGUGCGCUGGUUGUACAAAUCUGCGAUGGGGUGGCUACAACCAAUGGCAGGCCAAUUAGUUAACAUUAGUUUUGCUGGUAUGAGGUGAUUAUUGUAGGCUAAGAUUCUGAUCAGCUCAU
This 448-nucleotide long non-coding RNA is filed under the name Phoenix dactylifera (date palm). RNAcentral's name for it is "long non-coding RNA (PDAC_LNC018030)". The record is from RNAcentral. Lineage: Eukaryota; Viridiplantae; Streptophyta; Magnoliopsida; Arecales; Arecaceae.